GCGCUAGAGGGGGUUAGUCGACAACGAAAAUGCCUGCACCGCUCGCAGGGGACUUCGGCUAUCACAGUCGAGGGAGGUUGAAAACCCCACUUCAAAACCCGUCGGAAUGUUUUGAAAAAAUGUUGAUGGCAAUGGAGAAAUGUGAACAGAGGAGAGAAAGUAGCGGAUUGUAAAGGAUAGACGGUAUUUUCCAGUUGGACAGAAGGCACAGGAGGGAAAUGGCACACUGACAAGUCAGAGGAGCAGGAGAUGAAGGAGGCGAGGGUUGGCGUUUGACGCUUACAGAGUUUUGGAAGGGAAAGGACCCUUCCAUUCCAUGCCUUUCUCCGCUGCGAUGUUUUUGUGCCACACACCGUAGCUGAAGACGUUUCACUUAAUGCCUUACGGUAAAUUGGAAGGAAAGAGAGGAGAGCAAGAAAUGUCCCACGUCAAAAAUUCUGCUGCGUGGAGAGAAAUGCGAAAUACAAGCGAUUUCGAGAAUGUGAGGAAGGGUUCUGAUUGGUGACUGUACUCAUCCUCAUUAGGAAUUCAUACACCUCUGCCUCUCUUUGAAGGUGUCCACGCCAACUUAAAUACAUGCAGAUCAUUUCUAAAAAGAUACCAUGUGUGGAAUUUAUAUAUUGGCACUUAAAAGAGUAAAAUCUGAUUUUGAUACUCAUUUUGCCACUCUUACUGAUAUUCAUUGACCACAUGGGCACUUGCAAACUCAUUUUAGAGUUUAUAAACUCAGUUGUCAAAUAAAAAGGCGACAUUAUGACCAUUAUGAUAUAAAUCAUUGUGUCUAAAUAAUGUUCUGAGAAAUGUUUAAUGAUUCAUUAUCUGAUAAUUUUAUUCAAAGUGUUUUUAUAUACUGUCAAACAUAUAUUUCCAUGACCUUUUAUAAUUAAAUUUUCAUUUUUAAAUGUUGGCUUACAGUAAAUCUAUAAACUUCAUUAAUAAUUCACUAAAAGAAAAAUCGUUCAAGAAGACACUCGUUAUAAAUUGAAGGAAUGUAUAAUCUUAUCAUCUUAAAAAUAUCAACCAUGUGAAUCUAUUUCUAUACUUUUACUUUUGAAAUUAACUAGACUUGCAAGGGAAAAAUUUUUAAUGGAACAUCACCAAAAGGAAGUUAUUUCAGUAUAAUUCCUAACAUAAAAUAUUUUAAAAUCAAAGUUUAAAAUCAAGUUCUGAUGUUUUACUUGAGUGUUACAUUUUAGAGAAUAUCCUAUAAAACACCAAGAUGCUUCACUUAAAAUUAGACUAGAAGGCAGUACUUUUAGUGGAAGGAAGGGGAAAAGGCAGAAAAAAAAGGAGGAGAAAUAAAUAGAGAGGAAAACUUAGAUUCGUUUCUAGGACUCUCGCUCAGAAAUCGUGGCACAGUGCCUGAAACUGUUACUUCAAAGUACCAAUAAUGCGCUUGAUUAACCUGAAUUUCUAGUCCCCCCUGCACUGUACUUACAGUUCAGCUACAGUUCAUGAUUUGUAUCUGUUUAAAUGAGCCCAAGUCAAGCUUGACAUAAUAUAUGUAUAUAUAUAUAUAUAUACCUGGUCAGAUAAUUGAGAGUCAUAUUCUUGUCUUGGCUUUUAAGAAAAAAAAAUUACAAGAUUUUUCCCAGUAUUAAAACAUACUUCACAUGUUUACGUAUGUUUGGAUGCUGUCUAUUGCAUGUCUAGAAGAUAAUGACAUCUUAAGUAAAAACUCAUCUAAAAAAUGAGUUAAAAUACGAUCACUGUCUUUGACAAUAGCUAGAUUCCAUGAGUUUCACAUGAUUAUUAACGUUAAAACAUGAUGGUAAAAAAGACCAUUUAUGUUUUUUAUAUAUGUGUGUGUGUGUGUAUGUAUGUGUGUGACACACACAGAUGCACAAUGCACAAAUGUGUAUGUGCAUGUCUCUCUAAAAUAUUUGUUUAGUUCUUUUAUGUGCUCAAUUCUCUUCACUCAGGGAAGAGUUAAUGGUAAACUACUUUGCGUAACAAUAAUUUCUCUUAUAAAGCUAACAUUUAAAAUAUAGUCAUGGUUAUCUAUGUAAGCUAGAUGCAAUUGCACUUAGAAAUGUACUUCCUUUUUGAUUUUCUAGCAGUGUUGAUAUAUUUACUGACAUGCGACAGUUUCAAAAUUAUAAGCUACUCAAUGAACCACAUGCAAUAUUCAUGUAGAUUUAUCUGCACUUGUCUGUUUGAAUCAUACCAAUACUCAGAAAAGCAUUCAUGUCUCAUUUUUCAGAACUAUAUUGUUCAGAAUUCUUUUGUAUUCUCUCAGACUAUUGUUCUUCAUGAUAUAUGUGGUCUGGAUUCAGGUAAAAAAUGAUGAAAUUUUUUACUAAAUAAAGGAUAUAUGACAUUAAAAA
Non-coding RNA from Macaca mulatta (Rhesus monkey), 2327 nucleotides. Lineage: Eukaryota; Metazoa; Chordata; Mammalia; Primates; Cercopithecidae. The record is from RefSeq and is a predicted model, not a curated record.